Molecule: ribosomal RNA, 380 nt
Filed under: uncultured bacterium
Lineage: Bacteria
Description: bacterial SSU rRNA
Rfam family: Bacterial small subunit ribosomal RNA
Source: RNAcentral
GACGAACGCUGGCGGCGUGCUUAACACAUGCAAGUCGAGCGGUAAGGCCCUUUCGGGGGUACACGAGCGGCGAACGGGUGAGUAACACGUGGGUGACCCGCCCUCAGCUCUGGGAUAAGCCUGGGAAACUGGGUCUAAUACUGGAUAUGACUCCACGGUGCAUGUCGUGGGGUGGAAAGCCUUGUGCGGCUGAGGAUGGGCCCGCGGCCUACCAGCUUGUUGGUGGGGUGAUGGCCUACCAAGGCGACGACGGGUAGCCGGCCUGAGAGGGCGACCGGCCACACUGGGACUGAGACACGGCCCAGACUCCUACGGGAGGCAGCAGUGGGGAAUCUUGCGCAAUGGGCGAAAGCCUGACGCAGCGACGCCGCGUGAGGGAU